GCGCAAGACAACAUCUAUUUCUGUGGCAAGAGGGAUAUUUACUUUUUAACCGUUCUACUAGCUAGAAUAGAAUACCACACCUAUCAAUACCAAGUAUGUCUCACCGGCGAUUCUCU
This 116-nucleotide ribosomal RNA is filed under the name Minutocellus polymorphus. Its description in RNAcentral is "partial Trypanosomatid mitochondrial large subunit ribosomal RNA". The record is from RNAcentral. Lineage: Eukaryota; Bacillariophyta; Thalassiosirophyceae; Cymatosirales; Cymatosiraceae.